Molecule: ribosomal RNA, 206 nt
Filed under: uncultured bacterium
Lineage: Bacteria
Description: partial 16S ribosomal RNA
Rfam family: Bacterial small subunit ribosomal RNA
Source: RNAcentral
AGCGUAGGCGGCGUGGUAAGUCAGAUGUGAAAUCCCGGGGCUCAACCCCGGAACUGCAUCCGAUACUGCCGUGCUAGAGGAUUGGAGAGGUAGCUGGAAUUCUUGGUGUAGCAGUGAAAUGCGUGGAUAUCAAGAGGAACACUCGUGGCAAAGCGAGCUACUGGACAACUCCUGACGCUGAGGCUCGAAGGCCAGGGUAGCGAAAG